CAAACCAAUAUCCUCUGCGCUGAGAAUUACUACAAGUGUAUCAGCGGGGACUGUGGCACCUUAAUCAACCGUUCAAUUGAGACUAUUUCUGUCAAUUCCUAUGGUUAUACCUGGUGCCAUCGCGAGGUGGUGACUCAGCUAAAACUCUACGACAACCGGCCCUUUGCCAUUAGAUACCCUACCUAUUAUCACUGGAACUCAGUUGGAUAUUGGGCCCGGAACACUAGGCGUCAAUAUAGUCCGUGGAAAAUGGUGGCUCAUGUUGACCUGGGAAUCCGAUCCGAUACUGGAGUACCCAACAGAUCUCCCACCAUUACAGGCACUCCUCCAAUCCGAAUAACCCGGAACUGUGCAAGGAAGUUCAGUCUGAUGGUGUUUGAUCAUGAUGACGACCAGGUCAGAUGCAGGUUUGGAAAAUCCGAGUUAUCUGAGUGUGGUGCGUGCUACAAACCCUCUGGUUUCUCCUUAGAUGAGGUAAGAGGCACAAUUCAGAAUCCUUACA
Long non-coding RNA from Larimichthys crocea (large yellow croaker), 502 nucleotides. RefSeq lists it as uncharacterized. NCBI's taxonomy places the organism in Eukaryota, Metazoa, Chordata, Actinopteri, Sciaenidae. The record is from RefSeq and is a predicted model, not a curated record. The transcript is spliced from 3 exons.